UAGUCCACGCCCUAAACGAUGUCGACUGGUUGUUGGGGGUUUGACACUCUCAGUAACGAAGCUAACGCGUGAAGUCGACCGCCUGGGGAGUACGGCCGCAAGGUUAAAACUCAAAGGAAUUGACGGGGACCCGCACAAGCGGUGGAUUAUGUGGAUUAAUUCGAUGCAACGCGAAAAACCUUACCUACCCUUGACAUGUCCGAGAGCCUGCUGAGAGGCGGGUGUGCCCGAAAGGGAAUCGGAACAC
This 247-nucleotide ribosomal RNA is filed under the name uncultured bacterium. RNAcentral describes it as "partial 16S ribosomal RNA". It matches the Rfam family "Bacterial small subunit ribosomal RNA", at positions 791 to 1035 of the family's 1533-position model. The record is from RNAcentral.